This is an RNA transcript of Ziziphus jujuba (common jujube), 1740 nucleotides long. It is a transcript of the gene named potassium channel AKT2/3-like, with no coding region annotated. The record is from RefSeq and is a predicted model, not a curated record. The transcript has 7 exons. NCBI's taxonomy places the organism in Eukaryota, Viridiplantae, Streptophyta, Magnoliopsida, Rosales, Rhamnaceae.
UUUUCAUCUAAAGUUUCAAACCCAUCCCAUUAUUCCAAUUUUUUGGAGAAAAACCGUUCCAUUAGAAACGGUGUACUGCGAUUUUCGAGAUAUGGAGGAUAAAUUGCGGAUAGUUGUGUCUUUCUCAAUUUGGCAAAAAGCAAAUAAAUAAAUAAAUUAUGUGGCCCUUCUUCGUCUUCUUCUCCUUCUUCUUUUUUUUUUUUCUUCCUGGCGUGUCCAUUAUCUUCUCCACAAAAUAAAUGGAGAUAUUCCUUGUCCUUCUUCCAUCUUUGCGCCGCCACAACACAUCCUAGACGCCUCCUCCAACAAAUUGAUUACCAUCAGACUCCUCCAAAAGAUAAGCUAAGCUAAGCUAAGCUAAGCUAAGAGUCCUUCUGAUUUGGAGGAAACAAAUGAUCGAUCGAGCCAAAAGAGACAAGGAAUAGGUCAUCCUGCAAAAGUCUUCAUCAAAGCUCACACGCUAAGGAAGGAGACAAACCUUACCUCUGAUCUUGGUACUUCUAUGAUAACAACAAUGGAAAGCGGUUCAUUUAAUCCACAAUUUCAUGGUCGACGAUUGUAAACAACCAGGGUUUGUGGGGUUCUGUCUGAGAUGUAAUGUUGGAGACUGGAUAUAGAGCUUCAAUUUAUUCAAAGAACAGUGUGGAAAAAUGGAAGCGAGUUUGCAGAGCAGGGAAGAGAGAAGCUCUGACAAACGAGAAAGAAGGAUGAUAUAUAGUUGUUACUUUGAAUGGAAUAUGUCCUCGUUUGUGAAGAUUUUGCUGAUUUGGACAGUACACGUGUUACAAAAUCAUGGGAAUGUGAUCCUAUGUGAUAUAAAAAAUCAUAUAUCAAGUGCAAGUUUCCACGAUAUGAUUGCAAUCAACCAGGUGUUUAUACAUCUGCAAUACCUUGGGUUACUUUACUUGGAUAGUCACAUAUAAGAUAUGCAAAAUGGCCAUUAAAGCAUUGAGAUGGAAACCAUGGAAGUGGACAAAAGUGUUGAAGUUGUCUGUGUACAUGAUAGGACUCGGAGCACUUUUCAUAAUCACUACUCACUGCUACCUCAACACAGUGAAGAGGAGGAUGAAAAGGCACUUAAUGAGGAGCGUGGUCGUACUCAUUUUAAGGUUUGUGGUACUGAGAGCGUACUGGGUACACUUCGUAGCAUGUUUAUACUUUGGUUUAGCCAUGAUUUGGCCAGAUCCUAAAGACACGUGGCUAGGAAGUGUAACAAUGGACAGCAACAAGACUUAUAAUUUCAACAAGGAAGCAGUGUGGAAGAAUUAUGGCAUAUGUUUCUACUAUACCAUGAGCGCAAUUACUACACUUGGUUACGGAGACAUUCAUGCUGUCAACAUAUUGGAGAUGUAUGUCACUCCAAUAAUAUUAUUAAGCAACAUGGUUGUGAUGACAUAUAUAGGAUCACAUUUCAUAGUGCCACUACUGGCUCGUAUAUUUCAGGAUGAAAAUAGUGAGCUGAGAGAGCAGGAUUAGGGAGGAUCGGGGAGGAUUACGAUCGAUCAGAAGCAACAAUAAAGGAAGGAUGCAUAGAUGAUUUGUUCUAUUGAAAUGGAACAAAUAGAACUGAACACUGUUUUGUACAAAGGCUAGACAUUUUUUAUUCAUCAUGUGUGUGAUGAGAAUUGAUGAUUUUUUUAAGGCAUCAGUAUAUGAGGUAGAUUGUAACAUCUAAAUGCUAUGAUUAAUUAUAUAUGAUAUAUGUAAAGAGUCUGAAUAAUAGACUAUUAGAAUUACAUA